GACCGUAUAGCGAGGACGAUGGUGUGAACCGGGUCAGAUCUGGAAGGAAGCAGCCCUAAGCAUUUCAUCGUCUUGUGCUGUACGUUAUUA
RNAcentral lists this signal recognition particle RNA (90 nucleotides) under Aerococcus sp. Its description in RNAcentral is "signal recognition particle sRNA small type". It matches the Rfam family "Bacterial small signal recognition particle RNA". From Rfam's summary of the family: The signal recognition particle (SRP) is a universally conserved ribonucleoprotein involved in the co-translational targeting of proteins to membranes. Archaeal SRP consists of a 7S RNA and homologues of the eukaryotic SRP19 and SRP54 proteins. The record is from RNAcentral. Lineage: Bacteria; Bacillati; Bacillota; Bacilli; Lactobacillales; Aerococcaceae.